AGCAGCCGCGGUAAUUCCAGCUCCAAUAGCGUAUAUUAAAGUUGUUGCAGUUAAAAAGCUCGUAGUUGAACUUCAGGCCUGUCCAGAUGGUCCGCCUUAAUUGGUGUGUACUGUCCUUGGGUGGGUCCUACCUUCUGGCGAAGCGGCAUGGCCUUAGUUGGUUGUGUUGGGGAACCAGGACUUUUACUGUGAAAAAUUAGAGUGUUCAAAGCAGGCAUAUAUGCUCGAAUACAUUAGCAUGGAAUAAUGGAAUAGGACGAUGGUUCUAUUUUGUUGGUUCUAGGACCGUUGUAAUGAUUAAUAGGGAUAGUUGGGGGCAUUAGUAUUCAAUUGUCAGAGGUGAAAUUCUUGGAUUUAUUGAAGACUAACUACUGCGAAAGCAAUUUGCCAAGGAUGUUUUCAUUAAUCAAGAACGAAAGUUAGGGGAUCGAAGACGAUCAGAUACCGUCGUAGUCUUAACCAUAAACUAUGCCGACUAGGAAUCGGGCGAUGUUGACAAAAUGACUCGCUCG
Molecule: ribosomal RNA, 512 nt
Filed under: uncultured Paraglomus
Lineage: Eukaryota; Fungi; Glomeromycota; Glomeromycetes; Paraglomerales; Paraglomeraceae
Description: bacterial SSU rRNA
Rfam family: Eukaryotic small subunit ribosomal RNA
Source: RNAcentral